GGUAACAGGUUUUAGUUUACUAGAAUGCUGACGACCGGCGCACGGGUGAGUAACGCGUAUACAAUUUACCUUUUACAGGAGAAUAGCCCAGAGAAAUUUGGAUUAAUGCUCCAUGGUAUUAAUUGAUCACCUGAUCGAUUAAUUAAAGUUCCGGCGGUAAAAGAUGAGUAUGCGUCCUAUUAGUUAGAUGGUGAGGUAACGGCUCACCAUGGCAUCGAUAGGUAGGGGCCCUGAGAGGGGGAUCCCCCACACUGGUACUGAGACACGGACCAGACUCCUACGGGAGGCAGCAGUGAGGAAUAUUGGACAAUGGGCGUAAGCCUGAUCCAGCCAUGCCGCGUGCAGGAAGACGGCCCUAUGGGUUGUAAACUGCUUUUAUACGGGAAGAAUAAGGGACACGAGUGUCCUGGUGACGGUACCGUAAGAAUAAGGACCGGCUAACUCCGUGCCAGCAGCCGCGGUAAUACGGAGGGUCCGAGCGUUAUCCGGAAUUAUUGGGUUUAAAGGGUCC
RNAcentral lists this ribosomal RNA (511 nucleotides) under uncultured bacterium. Its description in RNAcentral is "bacterial SSU rRNA". It matches the Rfam family "Bacterial small subunit ribosomal RNA", at positions 68 to 570 of the family's 1533-position model. The record is from RNAcentral.